This 483-nucleotide ribosomal RNA is filed under the name uncultured bacterium. Its description in RNAcentral is "partial 16S ribosomal RNA". It matches the Rfam family "Bacterial small subunit ribosomal RNA", at positions 28 to 523 of the family's 1533-position model. The record is from RNAcentral.
GACGAACGCUGGCGGCGUGCUUAACACAUGCAAGUCGAACGAUGAACCCGGAGCUUGCUCCGGUGGAUUAGUGGCGAACGGGUGAGUAACACGUGAGCAAUCUGCCCUUGACUCUGGGAUAACUGCGGGAAACUGUAGCUAAUACCGGAUACGACACCUUGGGGCAUCCCAGGGUGUGGAAAGAAUUUCGGUCAAGGAUGAGCUCGCGGCCUAUCAGCUAGUUGGUGAGGUAAUGGCUCACCAAGGCGACGACGGGUAGCCGGCCUGAGAGGGUGACCGGCCACACUGGGACUGGGACACGGCCCAGACUCCUACGGGAGGCAGCAGUGGGGAAUAUUGCACAAUGGGCGAAAGCCUGAUGCAGCAACGCCGCGUGAGGGAUGAAGGCCUUCGGGUUGUAAACCUCUUUUAGUAGGGAAGAAGCGCAAGUGACGGUACCUACAGAAAAAGCACCGGCUAACUACGUGCCAGCCGCCGCAGUAA